RNAcentral lists this ribosomal RNA (239 nucleotides) under uncultured bacterium. Its description in RNAcentral is "partial 16S ribosomal RNA". It matches the Rfam family "Bacterial small subunit ribosomal RNA", at positions 524 to 762 of the family's 1533-position model. The record is from RNAcentral.
UACGUAGGGUGCGAGCGUUAAUCGGAAUUACUGGGCGUAAAGCGCGCGUAGGUGGUUUGUUAAGUUGGAUGUGAAAGCCCCGGGCUCAACCUGGGAACUGCAUUCAAAACUGACAAGCUAGAGUAUGGUAGAGGGUGGUGGAAUUUCCUGUGUAGCGGUGAAAUGCGUAGAUAUCUGGAGGAACAUCAGUGGCGAAGGCGGCCCCCUGGAUCAAUACUGACGCUGAGGUGCGAAAGCGU